Long non-coding RNA from Pan troglodytes (chimpanzee), 1785 nucleotides. RefSeq lists it as uncharacterized. NCBI's taxonomy places the organism in Eukaryota, Metazoa, Chordata, Mammalia, Primates, Hominidae. The record is from RefSeq and is a predicted model, not a curated record. The transcript has 2 exons.
GCGCCCCGGAGGGCGGCGGCCGCGGGGCGCUGGGAUCCCGCCCGCCUUCUCCGCCCUGCACCCCUCCCGCCCCGGGGCUCCUGCCCGGACGGCGGCCGCCGCCGCCUCGUCUUCCCCGAGGGCUCCGCGUCCGUCUCCGCAGCUCGGCCGGGAACCUGGGAACGUGGGAACUCGGACGCAGAAGGACGCGCCCGAGCCAGGACCCGCCGCGGGGUCCCUCUGGCGGGCCGUGGCCGGGGAGAGGACGCGGGCCCUGGCGGUCGAAGACGGACGCAGCGCCCGGAAAGGCGAGCCGGGUCUCCGGCUCCUGGCGCUUCCUGUGAGCUGGCUCGGCGGGGUGCGUCGCCGGGGAGGGAGGGACUGGCCGUGGGGCGAGCAGCCGGGUGGGGAGUGGCUUCUGGGGGCCUUCGCCAGCGGAGGGCCCGCGAGGCCGCCCUCGGAGCGCCGCCAGGUACGUGCGUUUUCCUUGUUUCCCGCGCUCCCAGAGCGCACUCUCGGUAGGGAACGAAUAAAAUCCCGGCUGGUGUGUAAGAGCCUUUCGCUGCAAACGUGUCUUUCUGCGGGAUUCGGGGGGCCGCCGAACGCGGGGUAGACCCCGGCCCAAGGUGUUCCUGCAGCUUCCACCAGGGACCCUUCUCCACUCUCACCUUGGGCUCGGAGCGGGUGCCAGUUUGGAAAUGCUUGUCUCUUCUGCAGCUCCGAUUGAAUUCGCCCGGGAGAAGGUGCGCCCUGCCUCGGCCUCAGAGCUGGGACGACCGGGCUUUGUUCCCCGCAGCCCUCCCCACCCCGUCCUCCUGGAAAAUCCGGAUUUUUUCUAGUAGGGAUGCUCAGUUUUGAGGGGGUUGUUUUCGGAGGAAGCUUGGGUUGGGAAAGCCCGAUAUUGGCCCCAAUCUGGCGGGCAGCUUUCCUUGUCUUGGAGCAGCCGCUCCUAGCCCCCGGAGCAGCCGCUCCUAGCCCCCGGAGCCCCGGACUUAAACGGUUAGGAGACGCCCAUGGGCUUUGGGGGUAUUCUGCGGGGUCCGAGACCGGGUGGCCUGAGCGGGGUACGAGGAGGCCGGGUGGCCUGAGCGGGCUCCUUCCCCUCCCCCAUGUGCACGUCAAACAAAAGAAUCUUCGAACAGUUUUGGGGACAGAACUCCUCGGAAUGUGAGCCUGUCCUCCCCGCCCCCCUUCCUAGGAAGGACAAGGAUCUUUCAACAAAGUUUAGAACAAAGGGCGGAGGCGAAGGAGGCAAGAUGGGCAGUGGGCUCGGAAGCCGGAGUCGAAAGAAGAAUGUUAUAAAAGUCCCUCACUUCCCAGUCUCCGCGCACUCCCAAAUAGCUCAUCAGAGUUUGGGUGGGGACAAAGUGAAUGACCGCCUAGAGUCGGGUUUGGUACCCAUGGCCCGGUUUUCGGCGCGGGCGUCCGGAGCCCGGGGGAAGUUCCCCAAGCUCGUCCCAAGUCGCGGUUGGGGGCGAGAGAGGUCGGGGCACAGCGCGCGGUUUCUCCUGCCGCCUUAGAGGACCGAGACUCGGGGUUCGCGGCUCCCUGGCUGCGCAAGUCUCCUCGCCCCUCCUGCUCCCCCCUCCCCCCCCCCGCCGAAAGACGCUCGGAGCGCACACCCGCCUGCACCAAAGCCAGGGAUCUCAUUUCUCUCAAAAUAAAACUCAACAAGCCAUAAAGGCUCCUGAUUCCAGUGGAAAAGGCGCCGCAGAUUUAUGGUCCCUCCAAAUCCCCACACUCUAAUUAUCCCUGUUUUUAGUUUACUUAUGGGUGGUGACCAAUAAAAUGAUUUUCCAUUUUGAA